This 407-nucleotide ribosomal RNA is filed under the name bacterium enrichment culture clone ALO1_GLFRUDD03FPDJY. RNAcentral describes it as "bacterial SSU rRNA". It matches the Rfam family "Bacterial small subunit ribosomal RNA", at positions 9 to 416 of the family's 1533-position model. RNAcentral also lists the same sequence under 2 other names. The record is from RNAcentral.
GAGUUUGAUCUUGGCUCAGAUUGAACGCUGGCGGCAUGCCUUACACAUGCAAGUCGAACGGCAGCACGGGAGCUUGCUCCUGGUGGCGAGUGGCGAACGGGUGAGUAAUGCAUCGGAACGUAUCCUGGAGUGGGGGAUAACGUAGCGAAAGUUACGCUAAUACCGCAUAUUCUGUGAGCAGGAAAGCGGGGGACCUUCGGGCCUCGCGCUCUUGGAGCGGCCGACGUCGGAUUAGCUAGUUGGUGAGGUAAAGGCUCACCAAGGCGACGAUCCGUAGCAGGUCUGAGAGGAUGAUCUGCCACACUGGAACUGAGACACGGUCCAGACUCCUACGGGAGGCAGCAGUGGGGAAUUUUGGACAAUGGGGGCAACCCUGAUCCAGCCAUGCCGCGUGAGUGAAGAAGGCC